Molecule: non-coding RNA, 139 nt
Organism: Struthio camelus australis
Lineage: Eukaryota; Metazoa; Chordata; Aves; Struthioniformes; Struthionidae
Source: RefSeq, a predicted model, not a curated record
ACCCUAAGAAGAGAGGAGGAAAUGGGAUCCUUACAGGAGCGUAUUAUGGCUCUAGAAAUGAGUACUCGAGUAGCUUUAGACCACCUGGAGUCUGUUCCUGAGAAACUGAGCCUGUUAGAAGAUUUCAAAGAUUUUGGAG